UACGUAGGGACCGAGCGUUGUCCGGAUUCAUUGGGCGUAAAGAGCGUGUAGGCGGUCCGAUAAGUCCGCUCUGAAAGCCCGGGGCUCAACCCCGGGAGGCGGGCGGAUACUGUCGGGCUAGAGUCCGGAAGAGGCAAGUGGAAUUCCUGGUGUAGCGGUGAAAUGCGCAGAUAUCAGGAGGAACACCGAUGGCGAAGGCAGCUUGCUGGGACGGUACUGACGCUGAGACGCGAAAGCGUGGGGAGCAAACAGG
RNAcentral lists this ribosomal RNA (253 nucleotides) under uncultured bacterium. RNAcentral describes it as "partial 16S ribosomal RNA". It matches the Rfam family "Bacterial small subunit ribosomal RNA", at positions 524 to 776 of the family's 1533-position model. The record is from RNAcentral.